This 494-nucleotide long non-coding RNA is filed under the name Vitis vinifera (wine grape). Its description in RNAcentral is "long non-coding RNA (VVIN_LNC006084)". Lineage: Eukaryota; Viridiplantae; Streptophyta; Magnoliopsida; Vitales; Vitaceae. The record is from RNAcentral.
UUGCAGCUGCCUCUGCCGCCUUUACUGCAGUCAUGAGAAGCAAUGAGCAAGGAAAUUUGAUUGACCAUGACUUGCUCAUCAAAAUUCUCAGCAACCCAAAAAUCAUUGAGAGAAUUGUUACAGAUCAGGUAGUCUCAUCCUCCAACCCUCAGGCUGUACCCAACCAAAGGUUGCCACCCAUAGCUUUAUCUGAUCAACCUCCUGGUCAUGUCAGUAGGGUAGAAACUAAUAUACCCUUGUCUGCUGCGAUUCCAAGUGGACCAUUCUACUCCCAGUCAAAUGGGCCUGGACCUGUUCCUGCACCACGGCCACCUCCAUCUAUGGUUGGACCUUCUUCCUCUUCACCUCCUGUGAGACCUGUAACAAAGGAUAUCAACUAUUAUAAGAGCUUGAUUCAGCAACAUGGAGGAGAAAGGCAAGAACCCCAAGAUCAGUCUCAAUCCCAUUCUCAAUUCGCAAACCGACCCAAUCACCAUGUUUUAGGGAUGAAUCCG